GCUGCCACCCCCCGGUGCACAUGUGCGAGACCGGUGCUGGUGCACGAGACGCCGUUUGUCUCUUGUUUUCGCCUGUGUGCGCAGCGGAUUGCAUUGGCUGCGCGGACCGUGUCUCUGCUCCUCUUUUCGCGUUCGCCUCUGGCACGCUCGUGUGCGCUGAGAGGUCGUGCGUGCACAUCUGAGUGUAGGCGGCGCUCCUCUUGUGAACCUCGGCGCACUUGGAUUGCGCGCACGUGCUGCAGGGCCUAUCGAGGGCGGACAGAAUUGCUCUGCUUGUGCUACGCCGCGCACACGCAGAUAGGGGCGGAAGAAGGGGGCGAAGCAGACGAAGCAAAAACGACAACAACACUAAAAGAACAGAGCAGAACAGAAUCACGCGUGCGCACAGGGUUGCAAGCUGUGUUGUGUGCUGCACGCUUCAUUGGGUGCGCAUGAAAGGCAAGUCAGGACGAUCGAUCGCCGCGAUUAGCGACGUUCGAGCAGCGGUGUCGCGAUUCUGCGAUGAGCAGCUAUCGCGGCGGCUGGACACGCAGCCCGUCGCGGAGGUGCAUCAGAAGGUCUCCGCGUGCGUGCAGACAGUGGACCCGGCGAUGACCCCCUACAUCUUCGGCUCCACCGCUGUGCUGGGCGUACACGAGCAGGGCUCUGAUGUGGAUUUCGCAUGCUUGAGCCCGACGGAUGUGCAGGAUGGCAAAGGCGCCGAUGCUGUCUCGGAGGUAGCGAAAGGAUUGCAGUCAGACUUCCUCUUCCGCCUGAGCGAGGUGGUGAAACGGGAGCAUUACCUGUGGGGUAUCGAGCUUGUCCGCCGCACGCGUGUGCCGGUGCUGCGCGUGAAGGGUGGCCUCGGUGUGGAUAGCGUGAGCUUCGACGUGACAGCCAAUCGCCGCAAUGGCGUGCGCAACAGCGCUUUGCUGCGGGCCUACUUCACCCAGUGCCCCGAGGCGCGCUGGCUGAGCAUGCUCGUGAAGCAGUGGAGUAAGAGGACAGGGCUGAACGCCUCCGUGGAUGGCGGCUGCAUCACCUCCUAUGGCUGGAACAUCAUGGUCGUCUACUACCUGUUGCGAAGGAGGCUAGUGACACUCGUGCCGGUGGAGUCGUGCGACGUGGCCGACAUCGCCCCGAUGCCGCCUUACAUGCCGCUGGAGACCCCCCAGCAAGGUGGCCAAGCGCUGGCGGACAUGCUGAUGGACUUUGUGCGCUACUACCUCGACGAGUUCGCCCCUGAGACUGAGGUAAUGAGCCUGACCCGGGCGGCGGGGGAGACGACGAAGGAGAUGCUCUCGUGGACAAAGCAGGCAGAAGACAUGGCCCGAAUCCGCGGAGAGAAAAUACACUACCGGUGGUGCAUCGAGGACCCGUACGAGUACGACUUGAACGUUGGCCGCAACGUGACUCCCUUUAAGCUCAUGCUUCUGCGGAAGCAUCUAGAGCGGGCACAGGAGACGGCGCUGCUACUGUUGGCUACACCACCGACUUCUGCGACGGCAAGGUCAGCGAAGUAACAACGGCGCGCUUGGGUCGUGUGGGCGUGUGCUUGAGCGUUGCAGACCUCUGCAAUGCUUGUGAACGUGCAUGCAUUCUUCCCCUUCUCCUCCUUACACCGAAUCGUGGGUGCGGUCGAUGGAUUGCGAGUCUUCAGAUGAUCAUUGCCCCUCCCCCCUCUUUCUCCGUCGCGACUCUGCCGACGUUCUUCUGCUCUUUACCCGCCUCUCCGCACAAACCAAGGCACAGGCACGAAGCGUGUGGAUGGCCGCCACAGCCGCCAUCUACAGCGAAAAGGCAUCCGCGAGGCAAGCACGCACGGGCCGGUUUGCUCCUGUUUUUUUUUCCGUCUCGAUCAUCACUGUCUCUCUCCUUCUCUCGAGUCCGUAAGCGAACCCGGACAGGCGUACACUUUUCUUCACAAUCCCUUCUGCUUCCGUCAAGUAGUACGUGGAUGGCCGUCCUGCUUGACGGUGGAGCUCACAAGUACGACAUUCCCCCCUCCCCCCUGCCGCCCGCGCUUGCUUUUUUUUUAUUUGCUGCGUGCCGGUGCCGCGCUUAAUCGUCUGGUUGUAUCUAUAUAUCUGUCUAUAGUGUCUUCAUCCGCGAGCACUCUGUCAUGUCUCUGUGCUCUAGACCGGGCGGCGAUGCGGUGGAAGAAGAAACAAAGAAUGCUGCGGAUGUGGCGGGCGUGGUCGGCGCAUGUGUGCACGUGUUUUCGUGUUUGUGCGAUGUGUGGAGCGGGAAGCGAGUGAUUAUCGAUACAAGCUACCUGCGGCGGUGGGUACUCUACAGACAGGAGAAGCAAAGCAGGAAAGAACAGCAGGCAAUCGGAUCAGUGCAAUAGUGCCCUCUUCGGCACAGCGCAGGCGUGUCUGCACUUUGACAGGGGGCAGGCGGGUGGAGGGGCGGAAAGGUCGUGCGCUCAUCGCGGCGCAGCUGUCACCUCCGUUUUUCCGCGGCGCCCUAUUCACAGCACCUCUAUCGGCUCUCGCACAUGCGCAUCCGCGACGACCUGUAGUGGCGAGUCUCUCGCUUCCGGAAUCCCCCUCCCGAAAAAAGAAAUCGACU
RNAcentral lists this unclassified non-coding RNA (2553 nucleotides) under Leishmania donovani. Its description in RNAcentral is "gene:LdHU3.32.3230(CDS-product:Cid1_family_poly_A _polymerase_putative)". The record is from RNAcentral. Lineage: Eukaryota; Euglenozoa; Kinetoplastea; Trypanosomatida; Trypanosomatidae.